This 117-nucleotide ribosomal RNA is filed under the name Desulfoglaeba alkanexedens ALDC. The record is from RNAcentral. RNAcentral also lists the same sequence under 1 other name. Lineage: Bacteria; Pseudomonadati; Thermodesulfobacteriota; Syntrophobacteria; Syntrophobacterales; Syntrophobacteraceae.
GCCGGUGACUCAAGCGAGGAGGAAACACCCGUUCCCAUCCCGAACACGGAAGUUAAGCUCCUCUGCGCCGAUGGUACUGCGCGGGCGACUGCGUGGGAGAGUAGGGCGUCGCCGGUC